Molecule: ribosomal RNA, 567 nt
Filed under: uncultured fungus
Lineage: Eukaryota; Fungi
Description: eukaryotic LSU rRNA
Rfam family: 5.8S ribosomal RNA (bases 211-364)
Source: RNAcentral
AGUCGUAACAAGGUCUCCGUAGGUGAACCUGCGGAGGGAUCAUUACACAAAUAUGAAGGCGGGCUGGAACCUCUCGGGGUUACAGCCUCGCUGAAUUAUUCACCCUUGUCUUUUGCGUACUUCUUGUUUCCUUGGUGGGUUCGCCCACCACUAGGACAAACAUAAACCUUUUGUAAUUGCAAUCAGCGUCAGUAACAAAUUAAUAAUUACAACUUUCAACAACGGAUCUCUUGGUUCUGGCAUCGAUGAAGAACGCAGCGAAAUGCGAUAAGUAGUGUGAAUUGCAGAAUUCAGUGAAUCAUCGAAUCUUUGAACGCACAUUGCGCCCUUUGGUAUUCCAAAGGGCAUGCCUGUUCGAGCGUCAUUUGUACCCUCAAGCUUUGCUUGGUGUUGGGCGUCUUGUCUCUAGCUUUGCUGGAGACUCGCCUUAAAGUAAUUGGCAGCCGGCCUACUGGUUUCGGAGCGCAGCACAAGUCGCACUCUCUAUCAGCAAAGGUCUAGCAUCCAUUAAGCCUUUUUUUCAACUUUUGACCUCGGAUCAGGUAGGGAUACCCGCUGAACUUAAGC